AAAAUCGAAAAUAUUGAUUAAGUUUUCCAACAAUAAUAAAUAAAAAUCAAAUUAAAUUUAACCAAAAAAAAAAUUCAAUUAAAACAUUUCAUGUUUGGACUGAUGAUAAUAGAUAUAUAUGGCGGUAUGGUGUUUUGAAUAAAUAGUGAUUUUUGUUUCUGAUUUUAUAAUUUAUUACACUUUCGAUUCCAUUUAUCAUCAUAAAUUACUAUCCCUCAAGACUUCCCACAUAACCAAUCCUCCACGAUUUUUUUAUUUUUAUUUUUUUUAUAUUAUACAUACACUUCUGGUAUAUGAAUAUUAUACUGUGUGCAUCCCUAACUACGGUGAUGAUGAGUUUGAUGUUUAAAUAUUAAAAAAAAAGAAGUAAACUCUGGUGCGAGUGUUUGUGAGUCAAAUAUUAUACAUAUAUAUGGUACAUAUAUACAUGAUAAUAUAUCUGUUAUAAGUAUAUAUCGUUUUAUGUAAAAAAAGGAAAAAUAGAAAAUAUAUUAAACCGAAAAACCGACAAGUAAACAGUCGGAAAUAUAUACCUCUAUUAAUGCUAUGUAUAAAAAAUGUGUGUUCAGAAGGAAUAAGAAUUUAUUGCUGUUAAGCUGCCAAUGAGGAAUUUCUGUGUGUGUACAAAUCAAGGAUAAUAAAGAUCGUAAGCGCUGCUUUCAUAGCUUUUUGGUGUAAGCCAAAAUGACAAUUAGCACGAACAGCAAAGUAACAGAUUGGCAACAAUUUCACAAAGACAAAUGAAAUCAACGAUUCAGUGAUACAGAGUGUGAAUAACCGCAGAAAAGAUAGAAAGAAAAAACAUGUUUAAUGUCGCUAACCAUUAAAGCAUCGGUGUUAUAGCCACGUGACAAACUGAAACAGGAGUUGGGUACGAAUGGCCACCAGCUGGUGGCAUAAAUGCCCAUAUCGUCGUCGCAAACGAGAUCUCUAGCCGGCGACAUGAAAUUCGCGGCCCCGAUUCGGGCUUUUGUUUUAGCCCACCUGAUAUCCCUAGUCACACCAACCGGAGAAGCAGACUACACUCUUGAUGAUUCUUUCUGGAAUGAUGAGAGUCCAGUCGGUAAGUACAAUAAAAUGUAACCUAAGAAAAUUCAUUUUAAUUUAGCUCCGGCUCGUUAGUCUGUACACACUUUCAAGUGGAAUGAAGUUUCCAAUUUCACGAAAUGUCUAGGCCAACAGGAACUGUUUGCCAUAAAGAGCUAUUAAA
This is a long non-coding RNA of Bradysia coprophila, 1210 nucleotides long. Lineage: Eukaryota; Metazoa; Arthropoda; Insecta; Diptera; Sciaridae. The record is from RefSeq and is a predicted model, not a curated record.